AGCAGCCGCGGUAAUUCCAGCUCCAAUAGCGUAUAUUAAAGUUGUUGCAGUUAAAAAGCUCGUAGUUGAAUUUCGGGAUUAAUUUAUUGGUCGUGCUAUUGUACGUACUGGUAUUAUUGAUUCCUACCUUCUGAAGAACCGUCAUGCCAUUCAGUUGGUGUGGCGGGGAAUCAGGACUGUUACUUUGAAAAAAU
Molecule: ribosomal RNA, 194 nt
Filed under: uncultured Glomus
Lineage: Eukaryota; Fungi; Glomeromycota; Glomeromycetes; Glomerales; Glomeraceae
Description: partial 18S ribosomal RNA
Rfam family: Eukaryotic small subunit ribosomal RNA
Source: RNAcentral